UUAAGCAUAUAACUAAGCGGAGGAAAAGAAACCAAACGGGAUUUCCCUAGUAACGGCGAGCGAAAAGGAAUCCGUCCAGCGCCAAGUCUUGACACUGAGGUGCUCAAGAGAUGCGGCGUUAAUGUGUUGGCGCAUCGUGCGCUGUUCCGCCUUUCAAGUUCCUUUGACAGGGACGUCCAGAGCGGGUGCUAGGCCCAUAGAGAGGCGGAACCAGCGGGCGCCGGCCAACGCAUUCUAGAGUCAGGUUGCUUGAGAGUGCAGCUUAAAGUCGGUGGUAAACUCCAUCYAAGACUAAAUAUGACAGCGAGACCGAUAGCAAACAAGUACCGUGAGGGAAAGUUGCAAAGCACUUUGAAGAGAGAGUUCAACAGUACGUGAAACCACUGACAGGCAAACAGAUGGAACCACGAAGUGUGCGCCUCGCUCGAUUCAAUCAUCGCCGACGGUUGGCCGCGGCGGGCAGGGGUUUCUCGGAAUCCGGUCCGCCGAGGCCGGCAACCGGCGGCGGUGGUGCAUUUCGUGCCGAGGAUGCUAAGCCACGUUCGACCAGACAGUUGGGACGGCCGUAGGAUGGGAACCCGGAAAGGUGCCCGUCAGGUGCUUGCGCCUGGCGGCGUUAUAGUCCGGGAUCGGCACCGUCGCCUAACACACUGGUCGAUGCAAGUUCUCCGCAAGGAGUGAAACCGCAGCUGCCUGCGCCGGCUAGUCGUCGUUUCGGGGCGUUCUUUGCGUGCUCUUCGGUGCGAAAAGACGUUCCAACGAUGGCGGCUAGUCGGCGCUUGCGUGCUGCGGUGGAACUGUGGCGCGAGUAGGUCGGUCUCCAUCUGACCCGUCUUGAAACACGGACCAAGGAGCCUAUCAUGUACGCGAGUCGCUCGGUCUUGUACAGGCCCGGGAGGCGAAAUGAAAGUAAAGUUACGAGGCUUCGGUCGCAGUAACGGCUCGCCCACUUUGUUUGUUGGCAAUCUGGCGAAGCUGGAGCGUAYACGAUGGUACCCGAAAGAUG
This 1006-nucleotide ribosomal RNA is filed under the name Zachvatkinia isolata. Its description in RNAcentral is "eukaryotic LSU rRNA". It matches the Rfam family "Eukaryotic large subunit ribosomal RNA", at positions 34 to 825 of the family's 3401-position model. The record is from RNAcentral. Lineage: Eukaryota; Metazoa; Arthropoda; Arachnida; Sarcoptiformes; Avenzoariidae.